RNAcentral lists this ribosomal RNA (2501 nucleotides) under Aggregatibacter aphrophilus. Its description in RNAcentral is "bacterial LSU rRNA". It matches the Rfam family "Bacterial large subunit ribosomal RNA", at positions 447 to 2925 of the family's 2925-position model. Lineage: Bacteria; Pseudomonadati; Pseudomonadota; Gammaproteobacteria; Pasteurellales; Pasteurellaceae. The record is from RNAcentral.
GGGGGACCAUCCUCCAAGGCUAAAUACUCCUGAUUGACCGAUAGUGAACCAGUACUGUGAAGGAAAGGCGAAAAGAACCCCGGUGAGGGGAGUGAAAUAGAACCUGAAACCUUGUACGUACAAGCAGUGGGAGCCUGAAAGGGUGACUGCGUACCUUUUGUAUAAUGGGUCAGCGACUUAUAUUUUGUAGCGAGGUUAACCGAAUAGGGGAGCCGAAGGGAAACCGAGUCUUAACUGGGCGAGUAGUUGCAAGGUAUAGACCCGAAACCCGGUGAUCUAGCCAUGGGCAGGUUGAAGGUUGGGUAACACUAACUGGAGGACCGAACCGACUAAUGUUGAAAAAUUAGCGGAUGACUUGUGGCUGGGGGUGAAAGGCCAAUCAAACCGGGAGAUAGCUGGUUCUCCCCGAAAUCUAUUUAGGUAGAGCCUUGAGCGGACACCUUCGGGGGUAGAGCACUGUUUCGGCUAGGGGUCCAUCCCGGAUUACCAACCCGAUGCAAACUGCGAAUACCGAAGAGUGAUACUCAGGAGACACACGGCGGGUGCUAACGUUCGUCGUGGAGAGGGAAACAACCCAGACCGCCAGCUAAGGUCCCAAAGUCUAUAUUAAGUGGGAAACGAAGUGGGAAGGCUUAGACAGCUAGGAUGUUGGCUUAGAAGCAGCCAUCAUUUAAAGAAAGCGUAAUAGCUCACUAGUCGAGUCGGCCUGCGCGGAAGAUGUAACGGGGCUGAAAUAUAGCACCGAAGCUGCGGCAUCAGUAGCAAUACUGUUGGGUAGGGGAGCGUUGUGUAAGCGGAAGAAGGUGGCUCGAGAGGGUUGCUGGACGUAUCACAAGUGCGAAUGCUGACAUAAGUAACGAUAAAACGGGUGAAAAACCCGUUCGCCGGAAGACCAAGGGUUCCUGUCCAACGUUAAUCGGGGCAGGGUGAGUCGGCCCCUAAGGCGAGGCUGAAAAGCGUAGUCGAUGGGAAACGGGUUAAUAUUCCCGUACUUGGAUAAACUGCGAUGUGGGGACGGAGCAGGUUAGGUUAGCGUGCUGUUGGAUAUGCACGUUUAAGUUGGUAGGUGGGGAGUUUAGGCAAAUCCGGACUUCCUUAACACUGAGAGAUGAUGACGAGGCUCUACGGAGCUGAAGUAACCGAUACCACACUUCCAGGAAAAGCCACUAAGCUUCAGGUUUAUCUAAACCGUACUGAAAACCGACACAGGUGGUCAGGUAGAGAAUACUCAGGCGCUUGAGAGAACUCGGGUGAAGGAACUAGGCAAAAUAGCACCGUAACUUCGGGAGAAGGUGCGCCGGCGUAGAUUGUAAGGGUUUACCCCUGAAGGUUGAACCGGUCGAAGAUACCAGCUGGCUGCAACUGUUUAUUAAAAACACAGCACUCUGCAAACACGAAAGUGGACGUAUAGGGUGUGAUGCCUGCCCGGUGCUGGAAGGUUAAUUGAUGGUGUUAUCGCAAGAGAAGCUCCUGAUCGAAGCCCCAGUAAACGGCGGCCGUAACUAUAACGGUCCUAAGGUAGCGAAAUUCCUUGUCGGGUAAGUUCCGACCUGCACGAAUGGCAUAAUGAUGGCCAGGCUGUCUCCACCCGAGACUCAGUGAAAUUGAAAUCGCCGUGAAGAUGCGGUGUACCCGCGGCUAGACGGAAAGACCCCGUGAACCUUUACUAUAGCUUGACACUGAACAUUGAAUUUUGAUGUGUAGGAUAGGUGGGAGACUUUGAAGAUGAUACGCCAGUAUUGUUGGAGUCGUCCUUGAAAUACCACCCUUUAACGUUUGAUGUUCUAACGAAGAUUACGAAACGUGGUCUCGGACAGUGUCUGGUGGGUAGUUUGACUGGGGCGGUCUCCUCCCAAAGAGUAACGGAGGAGCACGAAGGUUUGCUAAUCACGGUCGGACAUCGUGAGGUUAGUGCAAUGGUAUAAGCAAGCUUAACUGCGAGACGGACAAGUCGAGCAGGUACGAAAGUAGGUCAUAGUGAUCCGGUGGUUCUGCAUGGAAGGGCCAUCGCUCAACGGAUAAAAGGUACUCCGGGGAUAACAGGCUGAUACCGCCCAAGAGUUCAUAUCGACGGCGGUGUUUGGCACCUCGAUGUCGGCUCAUCACAUCCUGGGGCUGAAGUAGGUCCCAAGGGUAUGGCUGUUCGCCAUUUAAAGUGGUACGCGAGCUGGGUUUAGAACGUCGUGAGACAGUUCGGUCCCUAUCUGCCGUGGGCGUUGGAGAAUUGGUUGGGGCUGCUCCUAGUACGAGAGGACCGGAGUGGACGCACCGCUGGUGUUCCGGUUGUGUCGCCAGACGCAUUGCCGGGUAGCUAAGUGCGGAAGAGAUAAGUGCUGAAAGCAUCUAAGCACGAAACUUGCCAAGAGAUGAGUUCUCCCAGAUUAUAAAUCUGUAAGGGUUGUUUAAGACGAAGACGUAGAUAGGCAUGGUGUGUAAGUGGUGCGAGCCAUUGAGCUAACGUGUACUAAUUGCCCGAGAGGCUUAGCCAUACAACGCUCAAG